UACGUAGGGUGCAAGCGUUGUCCGGAAUUAUUGGGCGUAAAGAGCGUGUAGGCGGCCAGGUAGGUCUGCUGUGAAAACUCGAGGCUUAACCUCGAGCUGUCGGCGGAAACCAUCUGGCUAGAGUCCGGAAGAGGAGAAUGGAAUUCCCGGUGUAGCGGUGAAAUGCGCAGAUAUCGGGAAGAACACCCGUGGCGAAGGCGGUUCUCUGGGACGGUACUGACGUUGAGACGCGAAAGCGUGGGGAGCGAACAGG
This 253-nucleotide ribosomal RNA is filed under the name uncultured bacterium. RNAcentral describes it as "partial 16S ribosomal RNA". It matches the Rfam family "Bacterial small subunit ribosomal RNA", at positions 524 to 776 of the family's 1533-position model. The record is from RNAcentral.